This 254-nucleotide ribosomal RNA is filed under the name uncultured bacterium. RNAcentral describes it as "partial 16S ribosomal RNA". It matches the Rfam family "Bacterial small subunit ribosomal RNA", at positions 524 to 776 of the family's 1533-position model. The record is from RNAcentral.
UACGGGGGGAGCAAGCGUUGUUCGGAUUUACUGGGCGUAAAGGGCGCGUAGGCGGCCACUGCAAGUCGGUUGUGAAAUCUCCGGGCUUAACUCGGAACGGUCAAGUGAUACUGUCGGGCUAGAGUGCAGAAGGGGCAACUGGAAUUCUCGGUGUAGCGGUGAAAUGCGUAGAUAUCGAGAGGAACACCUGCGGCGAAGGCGGGUUGCUGGGCUGACACUGACGCUGAGGCGCGAAAGCCAGGGGAGCGAACGGG